Long non-coding RNA from Neopsephotus bourkii (Bourke's parrot), 840 nucleotides. RefSeq lists it as uncharacterized. The record is from RefSeq and is a predicted model, not a curated record. NCBI's taxonomy places the organism in Eukaryota, Metazoa, Chordata, Aves, Psittaciformes, Psittacidae. The transcript has 2 exons.
UCCAUGCCACAGGAACUACAGAACAGAGACAGAAAUAAAAUCUACCACUCAGCAGUGCAGCUUUCUCCCCACAUUAACACUCAUAUGCAAACAGCGACAGUAGAGCUUAGAUCCAUUAUACUAAGGCAACAGCAACCCUUUCUUCCACCUACAAUUUGAUCUUUAUAUCUGAUGCAAAAAUGUUUCCUUGCAUACAGCAAGCACUGGCUCCUUUGCUCAACCCCUGUGGGAUUUCUGUGCAGAGGGGAAGAGACGCACACAGGAUACUGCUGUGCUCCUGCUGCUGCUGGCAAAUCUCACCUUGAAUCAAGCUAAGCCAUUUCUCCAGGCCUUUGCCUUUUCACGGGUGAGACUUUUAGCCAAGAGUUCAGUAUCAAAAUAAGAACAAGAAAUCACCAAAGCAGGAAUGCUGUUUAUGAUUCCCACUUCCAAGUUCUCCUUUCUGGUACUCUGUCAUCUUUAUGUGCUAAGCAACAAAAUGCUCCACUCUUCUCUGUACAAAAUCACCUAUUUCAUGUUUUCUAGGUCAAUUCAGAUAUAUUUAUUGAUUAUAUCUCUGUGUAUUUAACAAUGACACUAUAUGCAGAAAUCGAAGUGGAAUGUGUGCAAAUAAAAGUAACCUUUUUAAGUAAAGUAAUUUCAAAGAAAAAGGUACAUGCUGUUCCAUUUGUGGGAGAUUUAUUUUUAAUGCAGUUCAUUGGUAUUUAUUUGAAUUUGACUUAUGUGGCAAAAAUCUAGACAAAAUGUGAAAUAUGAUAACUAUUAUAAUUCUCAGUAAUAUUUCAUAUCUUAAUGUGUAGCUGCAGUCACAAAUAAAACCCCCAAAUUACAAUUAUCUCA